CCCUCCAGGGGGGGGUGAACCCCCACCUUCGCAGGACGCGCGGCAGGAAACCGAGGCGUGGGUGCCUUCUUUCACUGUUUGAUAGCCUUAGGAGGUGGACGUGCUGGCCUCUGUCCGCCCUUCCGAGCGGCAACUGUCUCUCCCUUAAAAGGGACGAGAGUACAUUUGCUGAGCUUCCACGUAAUCUGGUUACGAACCGGAUAUUGUACACAUUCCACUCCAUAACAAGCCCCUUGCAGCUUCAAGCUCCAGCGGUUAGCCACGGUUAACCAGAAAAUUUAUGUAUCCGUUGUGCCUUCUUAAUUGUAAAUAGAAGUAAAUACAUUAUUGCCGGUA
This is a long non-coding RNA of Macrobrachium nipponense, 336 nucleotides long. RefSeq lists it as uncharacterized. The record is from RefSeq and is a predicted model, not a curated record. The transcript is spliced from 2 exons. NCBI's taxonomy places the organism in Eukaryota, Metazoa, Arthropoda, Malacostraca, Decapoda, Palaemonidae.